GUGGGAACAGCAUUGCUUGCAUUGAUUCAAUUGAUUUGAAGCGGCGGUUAUACUAUACAUACAUAGUUUUCACUAGGGGUUUUUACCGAAUUGUUCACAAGCCCGUCAGAAGCAACCUCAGCAGAAAGCCACUCUUCCAGAGUCUCGUCCAUCGUCUGCUUAGGCGACUAUUUAAUAGCCUUUAGAUCUUCCUGUGAGUUAGGCCUAAUACUCUACUAUAUAGGAUAGGCUAGGCUCCUUCCUCUGUUCUUUUUAAUAUACACUAAACCGAAAGUCUUGG
RNAcentral lists this long non-coding RNA (280 nucleotides) under Nicotiana benthamiana. RNAcentral describes it as "long non-coding RNA (NBEN_LNC028028)". The record is from RNAcentral. Lineage: Eukaryota; Viridiplantae; Streptophyta; Magnoliopsida; Solanales; Solanaceae.